UAGGGAAUCUUCGGCAAUGGACGAAAGUCUGACCGAGCAACGCCGCGUGAGUGAAGAAGGUUUUCGGAUCGUAAAACUCUGUUGUUAGAGAAGAACAAGGACGUUAGUAACUGAACGUCCCCUGACGGUAUCUAACCAGAAAGCCACGGCUAACUACGUGCCAGCAGCCGCGGUAAUACGUAGGUGGCAAGCGUUGUCCGGAUUUAUUGGGCGUAAAGCGAGCGCAGGCGGUUUCUUAAGUCUGAUGUGAAAGCCCCCGGCUCAACCGGGGAGGGUCGUUGGAAACUGGGAGACUUGAGUGCAGAAGAGGAGAGUGGAAUUCCAUGUGUAGCGGUGAAAUGCGUAGAUAUAUGGAGGAACACCAGUGGCGAAGGCGGCUCUCUGAUCUGUAACUGACGCUGAGGCUCGAAAGCGUGGGGAGCAAACAGG
RNAcentral lists this ribosomal RNA (429 nucleotides) under Gemmatimonadota bacterium. Its description in RNAcentral is "Gemmatimonadetes bacterium partial 16S ribosomal RNA". It matches the Rfam family "Bacterial small subunit ribosomal RNA", at positions 355 to 776 of the family's 1533-position model. The record is from RNAcentral. Lineage: Bacteria; Pseudomonadati; Gemmatimonadota.